RNAcentral lists this ribosomal RNA (397 nucleotides) under uncultured bacterium. RNAcentral's name for it is "partial 16S ribosomal RNA". It matches the Rfam family "Bacterial small subunit ribosomal RNA", at positions 523 to 918 of the family's 1533-position model. The record is from RNAcentral.
AUACGUAGGUGGCAAGCGUUGUCCGGAUUUACUGGGUGUAAAGGGCGCGUAGGCGGGCAGGCAAGUCAGAUGUGAAAUCUCCGGGCUCAACCCGGAAAUUGCAUUUGAAACUGCAGGUCUUGAGUAUCGGAGAGGCAAGCGGAAUUCCUAGUGUAGCGGUGAAAUGCGUAGAUAUUGGGAAGAACACCGGUGGCGAAGGCGGCUUCCUGGACUGAGACGGACGCUCAGGUGCGAAAGCCUGGGGAGCAAACAGGAUUAGAUACCCCGGUAGUCCGGGCCGUAAACGAUGGGUACUAGGUGUGGGAGGUAUCGACUCCUUCCGUGCCGAAGCUAACGCAAUAAGUACCCCGCCUGGGGAGUACGGCCGCAAGGCUUAAACUCAAAUGAAUUGACGGGG